Long non-coding RNA from Vicia villosa (hairy vetch), 1671 nucleotides. RefSeq lists it as uncharacterized. The transcript is spliced from 3 exons. The record is from RefSeq and is a predicted model, not a curated record. Lineage: Eukaryota; Viridiplantae; Streptophyta; Magnoliopsida; Fabales; Fabaceae.
UCAGCUUUUAAGAUAUAUGAUGUGAAAAAUAUUUGUCAAGAGAUUUUACAUCAGACCUUUAUUUCCACUGAUGUGAAAAACAACACGGUGGCAGUUUGGUAAAUAAAAUGAAAUUUUGUUAUAAAGAAUUUUACAUCAGAUCUUUAUGGGCACCGAUGUAAAAAGUCCAUUAAAAAAUAAAAUUACAAGGUGGCAAUUUCGUAAAUAAAAUUACAUUUUGUUAUAAAGGAUUUUACAUCGGAUUUGGAUUUGCACCGAUGUGAAGCAUGACCAAUUUCAACAAAACCCUAAUUUGCCUUGCAAAAUAAAAAUCAUUUUGUUUUCGUUCUCCUUCUGUUCGCUCCCUAUGUUCUUCAUUUUUCUGCCUCCGCCUUCAAUCUCCCUCCGUCGUUCGAUCUCCGUUCAGUUUCCCUCCGCUGACCGCCGUUCGAUCUCUUUUCUGCAUCACCCUUCGCAAUCGACGACGGCCCCACCGCGACCAGCCACUCGACCACGCCCUUCAGACCUCCCCGCGCCGUACGACCACCGUGAGAUCUCCUCCCUCCGUGCUAGCAACCCGACCACUUCGUCUCCCUUUCCAAUCUCCUCCGCCGUGAGUAAUCUUUGAUUGAUUUUUAUUUUUUUUCUGUUUUGCUUCACCUACUUUUGUUUCAAAAGCGAGGACAACCUUUCAUUCCAUUGCGGCGAAAGCGGAACGUGUUCUCCUUGACUUCAAAUCAGAUCGAGAUCAAGAGAAGCAAUCUCCUGAUAGCUUGACGAGGCAAUCUGAAGUUGAAUCUACAAGCAGCGAGAAACAGAGUAAGGUAAUUAGGAUUGGAGUUUUUUUUGUUGUAGAUUUUCCUUAUUCAAAUUGUUGUAUUGAACAUGGUGAAAAUGUAUGUACUUUGGGGUUAAUGCAUUUGGAUUUUGAUUAGGAUUUGGUAUAGGGUUAUGAAAUGAAAGUGUAUUAGUUUGUUUCUAUGAAUCACAGGCAGUGACACCGAAAUGAAAGUGUACUAGUGUGAUAUAUCUCAUAUUAAAGGUUAAUUUCUCAUCUGAAAGUUAAUCUCUUUUCUGUGUUUUAAUGGUUUGUCAGGUCUUGUAGGAAUUAUGAAAUAUUAUGGAGAUUCUUCUAGAUUGUCAAGAUCUUGUUCUCAAGAAUAUUUGUUUUUUCUACUGAUUUAAUUGAAUGGGAAUGUAAGUUUUCUAUGCAAGGAAACAAGACUGGAUGCUCAAACUUUUGCAAGGGCAAGUCACAAUCAACUUUUUAUAAGGUAUAAGGUUAUGCAUAAUCAUGUGUGACUCUAGUUGUCUCAUAAUUUUAGAUUUUUUUUCUCUAAAUAUUAUUAUGUUCAUAGAGUGUAUCAAGAUUAAGGGAAGAACUAAACAUAUUGUUGUUUAUGGAGGCAUCGUUGCUCGCCGACGCUGAUCAGUGUAGGAAUACCGCAGUGUAUCUUGACAGCAAUACAAAAUGUUUCUGAAACAGAGGUUGAAGAAGGGAAAUUUUCAAAGAGGAGGCUAUAGAUCCGUAACUUAUUAAGACUUUAAAUAUUUAGUUAAUUUACAUUAAUAAUUUACUUGAUUUAGUGGGUGGUAAUUAUUAAUUACUUUGAAAAUUUGAUAUUUGAAAUUUGAUUUAGUGUAUUAGUUUGUUUUGUUAGGUUAUGGUUGAAAGUUAAUCAAGGGAAAUUA